RNAcentral lists this non-coding RNA (114 nucleotides) under Azospirillum brasilense. RNAcentral's name for it is "Glycine sequence". It matches the Rfam family "Glycine riboswitch aptamer". From Rfam's summary of the family: This family represents the bacterial glycine riboswitch. Lineage: Bacteria; Pseudomonadati; Pseudomonadota; Alphaproteobacteria; Rhodospirillales; Azospirillaceae. The record is from RNAcentral.
CGAUCCCUCGCGGGAGAGAUCAUUGCCCGGCCACCGGAAAGCCGGAUGCCGGGCAAUGGCGCCGAAGGAGCAACCGCCCCGGAAACUCUCAGGCAAAAGGACCGCAAGGGGGAU